AAUAAUAAACACCAAUCGAAAAAAGAGAAAAAAAUUCGAAUUGCUCCUGAAAUGAUCGUAAAAAAAAUCAAUGGCGGCUAUUAGUGGGGUGUGCAUGAAUGGCCGUCUAAUCAAAAGUUGGAAUCGAGUGGAAAAGCAACGAAAAAAAAUGAAAAACCAGAUCAUUCGAAAAUAAUAACAAUCGAAUAUUGAUAAUAAUUUCAUGCUAAUAAGAUACGCUACUGGUAACAUUUCACUAUUUUCAAUUUUUUUCCAUUGAUAAUCAUUGAUUUGAUUCGAUUUUUUUUCUGUAGAUUAUUAAAUGAAAUAAAUGGAAAGAGGAACAAAAUAGAUUUUUUUUCGGUUUGGUUUAUGUUUUUGUCAAUGACAAUGUGUCGGAUAGGAGUACAAGAAAGAGAUAAAUGAAAAAAAAAAUUUCAUUUGUUUACCACAAAAUCAACAUCACACAUCAAACGGCAUAAAAAUAUGUGAUGAUAAAAAAAAUAAACCUCGAUACAGAUUCGAGAGUGAACGAAUAAAUCAAAUCGAUGAUGGUAUUUAUAUUAUCAAUACGUGAAUGUUUUGUUGAUCGAUGAGCCGCAUCAGUCAGCCACGAACAACAACAAUCCAAGGUUCAAUAUCCGAUCAAAUCAAUGUCAUAGUUCAGCUUCAGCAGCAGCAGCAGCAAUGAAA
This is a non-coding RNA of Dermatophagoides farinae (American house dust mite), 672 nucleotides long. NCBI's taxonomy places the organism in Eukaryota, Metazoa, Arthropoda, Arachnida, Sarcoptiformes, Pyroglyphidae. The record is from RefSeq and is a predicted model, not a curated record.